RNAcentral lists this ribosomal RNA (253 nucleotides) under uncultured bacterium. Its description in RNAcentral is "partial 16S ribosomal RNA". It matches the Rfam family "Bacterial small subunit ribosomal RNA", at positions 524 to 776 of the family's 1533-position model. The record is from RNAcentral.
UACGUAGGGGGCAAGCGUUGUCCGGAUUUAUUGGGCGUAAAGAGCGUGUAGGCGGCCUGAAAGGUCAGCUGUGAAAACUCGGGGCUCAACCCCGAGACGUCGGUUGAAACCAUCUGGCUAGAGUCCGGAAGAGGAGUGUGGAAUUCCCGGUGUAGCGGUGGAAUGCGUAGAGAUCCGGAAGAACACCAGUGGCGAAGGCGGCCCGCUGGGCAGUAACUGACGCUGAGGAGCGAAAGCGUGGGGAGCGAACAGG